This 839-nucleotide ribosomal RNA is filed under the name Romanomermis nielseni. Its description in RNAcentral is "large subunit ribosomal RNA". The record is from RNAcentral. Lineage: Eukaryota; Metazoa; Nematoda; Enoplea; Mermithida; Mermithidae.
GAUUAUUUAAAAAUUAAUAAAUUUUUCUGGUGAAUUUGAAUUUUAUUAAAAUUAAUUAAAUUAAAAUAGAAAUUAAAAUUAUUUAUUUAAAUUUUUAUUAAAAUAAAUAAAUAUUAAAAAUAAAAAAUAAUGAAAAAUAAAAUUUUAAUUAUAUCUAUUUUUAGCUAGCUUACAAGUUAACUUAUAAAAAUUAUUAAAUUUUCAAUAAAAAAUAAAUUAUAUAAAAAUAAGUAAAAAAUUUAAUAUAGUCUUAUAUUUAACUUAAAAUUUAAGAACUAAAAAUUAUAAUUGACUGUUUUUUAAAAACAUUUUUUUAUAUAUUUAAAAUAUUUCUGCUCAAUGUUUUUUAUAAAUAGCAGUUUUAGCGUGAUUACUUAAAAGUAGCAAAAUCCAUAGAUCUUUAAUAGAGUUCUUGACUGAAAGAAAUAACUAUUAUAAUUUUUUUUAAAAUUUAUUUAUUGAAAUUAAAUUAAUUUUGAAAAUAAAAUUAUAAAAUUUAUUACGAGAAGACCCUAAGAUUUAGUUAAAAUUAAUAAAAAUUUAAAUUGGGUUUUUAAAUAAAAAAAUUUUAUAAAUUUUUAAUAUAUUACAAAUAAAUACCUUAGGGAUAACAGCUUAAAAUCUUAUUUAAUAAAUAAGUAAUAUGACCUCGAUGUUGACUUAAAUAAAGAAAUUUAAAAAAUUUUUAAUUUAAACUGUUCGUUUCUAAUAAUUUGUGAGCUGAGUUUAAAACACUGAAAAGUAGUUUGGUUUCUAUAAAAAUAAAAAUAAUAGUAAUUUUUUAGUACGAAAGGACUUAAAAUACUUUAAUUUAAACAUUUUUUAAAUUGAAAAUUUAA